UUUUAUGAUGAUUAACACUGUCAGUUCUGCUACUGAAUGCAAGUGAGGACAAAAAUUUUCUGAUGAAA
Argiope bruennichi is the source of this 68-nucleotide small nucleolar RNA. Lineage: Eukaryota; Metazoa; Arthropoda; Arachnida; Araneae; Araneidae. The record is from RefSeq and is a predicted model, not a curated record.